AACGAAGUUGCCUGUUCACACUAGAGCUUUGAAAUAUCAUCUUUAGGAAAGAAGACGCAUAUUUUACGGAAACGUACAAUGCACAAAGUUAGACGUCUUCUUGAAGAGCAAGAGGAAGUGUAGGUUGUUUACGUUUCGAUGUGACAAAUCUUUGGACAUAACGGCUGUCCAACAGCUUGGAGAAAAACAUAUAGCUAAGGAUAAAGUAAAGACAAAAUCCUGCAACGAUUACAUAUGCAAGGUGACGGUUAGCCCAAAGGAUAAUGCCUGCAUCGUUAUUAUGCCAUGACGAUCCUUCAUAAAAGGUGAAAUAAGAGUCGUUGGAAAACUUGUAAUCCCUUUCAAGUAAAACACGAAUGUGGUCGUAAAAUGCGGGUGGGUUGGGUAGUUGUCUUUUGUACUUUUCCCAGAGAAAGCUGAUUGAAAGGGGACCGGUACUCAACAUGAUAGUCAAGUAGGGAAGCCAAUAUGACUUCGCAUUUUUUUCGAGGUUUUGAAUGAUCAGUUCGAAGUAUGGAUGAUGAGGAACACUUCCCAUAACAUCGUUGGAAACGCCUACAGGGUCGGUCCUGCGAACCCAUACGGGAUAAUAGAGAAGACUAUCUAACCGUUGACGACAUCCAUCGUCCAAAUCAAUGUAAUUUCCUCCAUAAUGAUAAAGAACGAAGUACCGAAUAACAUCCGCUCGUUGAACAUUGAAAGGGUAAGCAUCGAAGUAUGGCAAAAACCAAGGAUAGUUAUCAGCAAUGAAAUUACGAGACAUUUCAUCAGUCCAAAGGAUGUAUUCGUAAUCUGGGUGUAAAUCUAUGCAGCUCUGUUGAGCACCUUUCCAUCCUUCAGGCACUUCUGUGGUUUUCCAGGUUUGAUGAAUGAUUUUUGGAAUAACAGGUUCCCCUGAAAUAUCGUUCAAGGAAUCAAGUUUCAAAGUUGGCAACGGUUCAUCUUUGGAAGGAAUUGAAUCAUUAAGAACUUGGCGUAAAUAUCUUAGUUCUUCGGAAGGAAUGAUGUCCUUGGUACAUCUGUCUGCAAACAUCAAGAAUUCAUUGUUGAAGUAAAGAACGAUGGAACUCAUCAAGAAAAAGUUGACGGCAGCAAAAACUGCAAAUUUAUAUAUGACUUUCACCAUCCUAACAGUUUUCUAAUAUCAACAAUGGGUUAACAGCAGAAGGGGCAAAAGUAUUUUUAAAAAGAUUUAGAAGGUUUGCACUUGCAAUCCGAAAAACGAUAGAGUGUAAUGUAUACAGUAAUGAAUGGAGAGACGAACUUGUUAGCAACGAACUAUAGUCCAAUUCUAAUGGAGACUGUUCUGAAGAAAGAGAAAACGAAAAUGGAAAUGCUAAUCUAAACAACUAGGGAGUAAGUAAUCCUUAGAAAGCUUCAAAUGCUCGUGACAGUACUAAAUGCAAUUUUAUAAGGAUGAAUCAAGAAAAACGUUUUGUUUUUCAAAAGAGAAAAACAGAGGAACUUUUUUUUUUACUUUUAUGUUUAUUCAAAGUGGAAGAAAGAUAUUACCCUUUCAAGACUUCAGAAUAGUAAACAAAGGCUUCAGAUGAUGCGAAAUUUUGAAGUGAUUGCUAUUAUUAAAGGAGUUUUGCUUGAUAAAAUAAUAAAUAAAAGCCACUCUGUCUUUGUGUUCAGGCAUCACCAUGACGAUAAAAAAAAUCAUGCUAUUAUUUUUUUCGUUUACACUGAAUCUUGAAGGCGUCUAUAUAAAAUCAUACGAGAAGAAAUUGACCAAAACUAACAUUUUGUAAACAUAAAAAGAGUGAUAUUUUGAAAGG
RNAcentral lists this long non-coding RNA (1781 nucleotides) under Schizosaccharomyces pombe (fission yeast). The record is from RNAcentral. Lineage: Eukaryota; Fungi; Ascomycota; Schizosaccharomycetes; Schizosaccharomycetales; Schizosaccharomycetaceae.